CAGAAUGAGCUAUCAAUAGUUAUCAAGAUAACAAACUAGGUUAACCAGCUUAAUACACGCUGUUUUCUAAAUACAUUAAAUGUGAGACACAAGAGUAAAGCCAUUUCUACGAAAAAUAUUUUAUAUUAUUUUAGUGAUAUCUGUCGGAUUGACAUUUUCAGUGGUAUGAUAAUUUCAUGUUUGUGGAGUUUUUCAAUUAAGAAUUGUGAAUAAUUAUGAAUCAGAGGGGGUGUCAAAUGGACAAAAAGGGCCCUCCAAAGGGUCCAGUCCGGCCCCUGGAUAGCUAUGUGGAAAAUGUGGAACUCUCAGAGGAGGAGGCCAUAUAUGGUUGAGCAGCUUGACGCCUGAUGUCAGACCGGUGACUGAUGAUCCUGCUGAGGCAAUAUAUCAACACAUUACAGGUACAGCCGGCUUACCAGCAGCAUGGAAUGAUGGGAAAUGGUGCAGUGCCGCUGUGUGUCGGUCGGUGACAUUGAGAGCUGAAAAAGGAGCAGAUAGGAGGUCGACGGGGAGCGGACGUGGACGAAGAGGAGGUUCAAUGGAGACAUCAGGAUGAGUUCCGGAAGAUGACAGACAUAAUAAUCAUUUGUUACUGUUGCAGUAUAAAAACUGUACGGCCAGAUGAGGGUCAUCCUUCAUGUGAAGACAGAUUGUUGAUUUCACACAGAAGUCCAGAGCUGUAACUUGUAAUUUCAAACUGCCAAAGCAAAUUAAAUCUUUUAAAACGACAGAUAUUUCUCCUGUACUUCCUUCUACAAAAAAUUGAACACAACACUACUGGCAGUCCUAAAAUUGAUUGCUAAAGUCCCACUCAAGCAGGCCUAGAGACCGGUCAGUGACCCCUUGGUGACUGUCAAGUCGUUAUGGAGAAGUGCAACUGUGUGAACAGGCAAGCCAAUGAAGCAAACAAACUUUCCAAAGCUCUCUUUCCACUCCCCCAACUUUCUCCUCCCCUGUACAUAAAGUAUACGGGAACUGAGACGGUUGUUCACAUGAGCAUGGAGCCGUGUCAACCCCUUUCAUAGGGAAGAGGACGGCCACUGUUUGACACAAGCAUUACAACUGCCAGCCAAUACUGGCUAACAACAGAGUAACAACAGAAGCUUCUGAGGACAACACAGAGGAAAUGUUACCCAUAGUGACAUACUUGAGUUAUCAAAGAACAGAGGUUAUGAUAAUAACCUCACGUUUGCAUGGAAGAUGCUAACUUGUCUGCAUACAAGCAAACAUUUGUCAACCAGUUGGGGAAUAUACAUUUAUGUUGCCAGGGGGCACCAACCAGUCUCCAGGUUAAGUGUCAAAACAUUCAGCAAUUUGGGAGCAACAGACUAUAGUCUUGACCUAUAGGAAUAUGUUUUCAAGA
This is a long non-coding RNA of Oreochromis aureus, 1363 nucleotides long. RefSeq lists it as uncharacterized. The transcript has 3 exons. The record is from RefSeq and is a predicted model, not a curated record. Lineage: Eukaryota; Metazoa; Chordata; Actinopteri; Cichliformes; Cichlidae.